GCCAGGCACGGUGGCUCACACCUAAAAUCCUAGCACUUGGGAGGCCGAGGCAGGUGGAUUCCUUGAGCUCAGGAGUUCGAGACCAGCCUGGGCAACAGGGUGAAACCCUGUCUCUACAAAAAAUACAAUUAGCUGGGUGUGGUGGCACGUGCCUGUAAUCCCAGCUACUUGGGGGAACUGAGGCAGGAGGAACACCUGAACCUGGGAAGUGGAGGUUGCAGUGAGCUGAGAUCACACCACUGUACUCCAGCCUGGGCGACAGAGCAAGACUCGGUCUCA
RNAcentral lists this small RNA (279 nucleotides) under Macaca nemestrina (pig-tailed macaque). RNAcentral's name for it is "Metazoan signal recognition particle RNA (ENSMNEG00000004771.1)". Lineage: Eukaryota; Metazoa; Chordata; Mammalia; Primates; Cercopithecidae. The record is from RNAcentral.